UGUGGAGGAGGACGCCGAAGGUGGGGCUAAUGACUGGGGUGAAGUCGUAACAAGGUAGCCGUACCGGAAGGUGCGGCUGGAUCACCUCCUAACAGGGAGACAACAAAAUGUUAAAUAUUAAUUUUGUCACCUUAGGUCGAUCGGUAUCUCAGGUUCUUAAUUACUUUAAGAAUUUCAUUUCCUAAGUUUUUUCUCGGUCACACCCAUUACUUUCCCUGGGCCAUUAGCUCAGGUGGUUAGAGCGCACCCCUGAUAAGGGUGAGGUCCCUGGUUCAAGUCCAGGAUGGCCCAUAUCUCUAUGUUGGGGGUAUAGCUCAGUUGGUAGAGCGCCUGCUUUGCAAGCAGGAUGUCAGCGGUUCGAGUCCGCUUACCUCCACUGAUUACCACCUCUUCCAUAAAUUUAAAGAAGGGAAUAGUUAUGAGCGUUGAUUUACUUCUGAACGAAUCUAGCUUCCUAAUAAAUACAUUAAGAUGCUGGACUCAUUGAAUUUUAUUCAUUGUUUUCAGAGAACCUUGACAACUGCAUAGAUUAUUUUUAAAGACAAUAAGCAUCUUUAAUGAUGCAGAUUUAUUAUUUGUGCUAAUGCAUUAAUAACAAUUCUAUUGAGCUGAUGCUUCAAUUAUUUGAAGUUAUUGGUCAAGCUACAAAGGGCUCACGGAGGAUACCUAGGCACACAGAGGCGAUGAGG
This 689-nucleotide unclassified non-coding RNA is filed under the name uncultured Prochlorococcus sp. RNAcentral describes it as "partial may contain 16S ribosomal RNA, 16S-23S ribosomal RNA intergenic spacer, and 23S ribosomal RNA". The stretch from base 304 to 376 matches the Rfam family "tRNA". The record is from RNAcentral. Lineage: Bacteria; Bacillati; Cyanobacteriota; Cyanophyceae; Synechococcales; Prochlorococcaceae.